UACGGAGGAUCCGAGCGUUAUCCGGAUUUAUUGGGUUUAAAGGGUGCGCAGGCGGGAGAUUAAGUCGGCGGUGAAAUUUUGCAGCUCAACUGUAAAAGUGCCUUCGAAACUGGUUUUCUUGAGUGCGUAAGAGGCAGGCGGAAUUCGUUGUGUAGCGGUGAAAUGCUUAGAUAUGACGAGGAACUCCUAUUGCGAAGGCAGCUUGCUGGGUCGUUACUGACGCUGAUGCUCGAAGGUGCGGGGAUCAAACAGGAUUAGAUACCCCGGUAGU
RNAcentral lists this ribosomal RNA (271 nucleotides) under uncultured prokaryote. RNAcentral's name for it is "partial 16S ribosomal RNA". It matches the Rfam family "Bacterial small subunit ribosomal RNA", at positions 524 to 794 of the family's 1533-position model. The record is from RNAcentral.